UCAACGCGAAGUCAAAAUACAAACUAUUUGUGAAAACGUUUCCUUCUUCUUGCUAAUUCCUCCUCAAAGUGGGUGCAACUUUUACGGUGGUACAGUCCUCGUGGGGUGGAUUUCACCCGGCGCCAGGGCAAAAUUGUCAAGCCCACUCCAGGCGUCCGCCCCCAUUCCGCCCUUCCCCCACUUUCUGCUCUGCCUUCUAGCCCAGACCGGGGCUUCCUUGUGUCUUUAAAUUUGGAAGGGGGUGAGCAGGGCCAGGAUCCGCAGAAGAAGAGAGCCCCAACCUCCCUCCACCCCUUCAAAUGGCCCAAAUUAAUGUGAUCGCGACGUGAGGGUGCACUUGGGAAGAUGAAAGCAGGGGCCGGCCGGCUCUCCUAGAGCUCUAUAAUUAUAGAUAAUAUAUCCCAUUUCAAAGCAAUUAGACCAAUCAGGCGUAACGAACCACUUUGCUGCCGACGAAUAACAAAGGCGCACGGUUAUUUAAGCCCGGAGAUGUCAGGCAGACCCCGAGGCUCCAGGGUCGACCAAACGUCUUCCAGCCCCGCUCUACCCACCCCCGGUGGAGGAAGGCUCGCCCUUCUCCCCUCCAGCUCUGCCCUGCGCAGCCCGCUGUGGGCCCCCUCUCAGUUCCGGCAGGGGGUUGGAGGGAAUGCGAGGGAGAGAACUGACAUAUUGAGUUGGGUGUCAGGCCCUUCGUCAGAGGUUUCGCAAACUUUUAUCUGUUUUAAUCCUCUCUACUCUGUACUCUGGGAGGAAAUGUCGAGGAUCUCAGGUCUCUCUGAGAAGAAAACAGACCCAGGACUUCGAGCCAGGUAACCAGCUGAGGGCGGAUGGCCCAUUUUUCUAAGCCUCUGUUUGUCGUCUUUGAAAUGGGCGAGGACCGGCAGGAGCACUGAUCUAGAGACUCCAGAAGGCAGGGAACCCCCGCCCAGGAGGCGCAGACCCACGGAGGUUUGGGGACGGUUCUUGAGUGGACACCGAGACGAAGAGAACCGAAGACCUCCCGGUGCCUCUGAGAGAUCCAGAUAUUGAGUGAAACUGAAGACAAGCUGGGGAUGCCGAGAAAGGCCAGAACUGAGGCUGGAAAAGAGGGACGUCCAGGGAGAGAGUUUUGCCCGGAAAAGCAGCCCCGUGCCCCAACUUCGCAGGGGCAGCUGUAGGAACUGUGCAGAGCUCGGGAGCCGCCUCUCUGCACCGAGGCGGCCGGUAGACAGCCGAAUGGGUGGGGGGAGUCUCAUGUUUUUCUAGGACUCAGGUUGGUCCCUGGCUUUCGGCGACAUUCCUUGCCUGUAUCCUUCUGUCUGUCUGUCUGCCUGCCUCUGAGUCUCUGCCUCUAACCGGGUCUCCCCUCCGAGUGCCUCUGUCUGUCUCUUCCGCUCUCUGCACUGUCUCUCCAGGCGCGUGGCUCAGUCCCUUUUCCCCUCCCUAUCUCUCAGUGGCUUUCUCUGGAAAUAUCUCUUGCCUUCCCCGCCCCUCAGCCCAAGUUUAAGUCUGAGUCACUGCUGUCAAGUCACUGAGAAGCUGCUGAGACUCCAGCACGUUCUUCCUGGAGGCAGUCUGCGAUAUCUGGAGCAGCCGGCGCACCUUCGCGAGAAGCUAUAAAGCGCCUGGUCGGCCCAGGCGGGGGAGGGAACUCCUGCCGGUGGCUUCUCGGCGUCUCCCCUUCCAGGUCUGGACCGUGCGCUGCGCAAUCCACUACCUUCCCCCAGGCCGCACUGAGGACUCAGGAGCAGUGGCCCAGGCCGCAGCAGGCUGGGCUGAGCUAGGAGCCAGCAAAGAGUGAUUCAUAUCCACUGUCCCAGAACACGAGUUUGGGAACUGAAGGGUGGGAGCGGGGCCAUGCAAAGGAUCCCGAGGAGCCGGAAAGGGUCACCGGGAACCCACCAGGGAGCCCAUCCGGGAGCCGCUGGAAGCAUCAGACAGCAUCUGUUUUUUGGAGGGACAGCUGGCUCAACGCAGGGCACCCAGGGCUGUACCCUAGCCCGUUCUCUUUUGGCCACUGGCUCCCAUUCUUAAGGGCUGAAAGAGUCACAGCCCGGGCCACCUGGAGUCUCCGCCCUCUUGCGCUUACCGCCCAGACCUCAGCCGGCCCAGGACAGGCAGCAGCAGGCCUAUGCCCUGUAACCUUGGGCCUGGCUUUCCUGCCCUUGAGCGAGACGGAGGGGUGUUCACCCUACCGGAGGGC
Long non-coding RNA from Callithrix jacchus (white-tufted-ear marmoset), 2182 nucleotides. Lineage: Eukaryota; Metazoa; Chordata; Mammalia; Primates; Cebidae. The record is from Ensembl.